UUCAACUGCUCUUGAGAAAUCUCUCUGCCUCAAAGACUGCUCUGCCUGUGCUGACCUUAUUCACAAAGGUACAGAGGAAAAAGUAAAAUUACUACUUUAGAAACAUGAAGUAUUCAAAUGUUGGGAAAAGAAAGUUGUACAUUUAAGAAAGGGGGAAAAUGUUGAAAGGAAAGCAAGCAAUGGUAUAAAUUUUCUUCAGACCCACUCAUCAGUUUACCCUACCCAGCUACUUCAUUGUCUCACUGUUUUCAGAGAGUAAAUUAAUAUAUUUAUCAUCCAAUCAUUACAUUGAAAGAAAAGAACUGAU
Molecule: long non-coding RNA, 307 nt
Filed under: Bos taurus (domestic cattle)
Lineage: Eukaryota; Metazoa; Chordata; Mammalia; Artiodactyla; Bovidae
Description: long non-coding RNA NONBTAT023076
Source: RNAcentral